AGGGGUGUAGCGCAGCCCGGUUAGCGCACCUGGUUUGGGACCAGGGGGUCGAAAGUUCGAAUCUUUUCACCCCUA
Molecule: transfer RNA, 75 nt
Filed under: Flavobacteriaceae bacterium
Lineage: Bacteria; Pseudomonadati; Bacteroidota; Flavobacteriia; Flavobacteriales; Flavobacteriaceae
Also listed under: 3 other names
Description: tRNA-Pro
Rfam family: tRNA
About the family: Transfer RNA (tRNA) molecules are approximately 80 nucleotides in length. Their secondary structure includes four short double-helical elements and three loops (D, anti-codon, and T loops).
Source: RNAcentral